Molecule: transfer RNA, 64 nt
Filed under: Cryptonema producta
Lineage: Eukaryota; Metazoa; Mollusca; Bivalvia; Venerida; Veneridae
Description: tRNA-Asn
Source: RNAcentral
UAGGUUUUAGUUUAUUAAGAAUUCUUGACUGUUAAUCGAGAGGAAGCAUUAAAGCUAAACUUAG